RNAcentral lists this ribosomal RNA (458 nucleotides) under uncultured bacterium. Its description in RNAcentral is "bacterial SSU rRNA". It matches the Rfam family "Bacterial small subunit ribosomal RNA", at positions 15 to 518 of the family's 1533-position model. The record is from RNAcentral.
GAUUCUGGCUCAGAACGAACGCUGGCGGCAGGCCUAACACAUGCAAGUCGAGCGCGCCCUUCGGGGUGAGCGGCGGACGGGUUAGUAACGCGUGGGAACGUACCCUUUGGUAGGGAAUAGCCACUGGAAACGGUGAGUAAUACCCUAUGAGCCCUUCGGGGGAAAGAUUUAUCGCCAAAGGAUCGGCCCGCGUUAGAUUAGGUAGUUGGUGGGGUAAUGGCCUACCAAGCCUACGAUCUAUAGCUGGUUUUAGAGGAUGAUCAGCAACACUGGGACUGAGACACGGCCCAGACUCCUACGGGAGGCAGCAGUGGGGAAUCUUGGACAAUGGGGGCAACCCUGAAUCCAGCCAUGCCGUGUGAGUGAAGAAGGCCUUAGGGUCGUAAAGCUCUUUCGCCUGUGAAGAUAAUGACGGUAGCAGGUAAAGAAACCCCGGCUAACUCCGUGCCAGCCGCAGC